RNAcentral lists this small nuclear RNA (282 nucleotides) under Neotoma lepida (desert woodrat). RNAcentral describes it as "7SK RNA". It matches the Rfam family "7SK RNA". Rfam says of the family: 7SK was discovered as an abundant small nuclear RNA in the mid-70s but a possible function has only recently been suggested. The record is from Rfam by way of RNAcentral. Lineage: Eukaryota; Metazoa; Chordata; Mammalia; Rodentia; Cricetidae.
GGGUGACUUGGCUGUGACAUCUGUCACCCCAUUGAUGGCCAGGGUUGACUCAACUGAACUGACUGGGCCCAUGUGUGCCCCUCCUGAAGUUGUCCGCUGGGUCAAAGAGAACCACUUUCUCCAACNGAGGACUGUUCCUCAGUUAAGGGUUUAGGAGUAGCUGAAAGCUCCUACUAGAAUGUCCAAAUGAGUUCUCAAGGUGGGGUUUCACUCUGUAACCUAGGCUGGCCUCAAACUUGCAGUAAUCUACCUGUUUCAGUUUCCCAAAUGCUGGGAUUGCAG